Spinacia oleracea (spinach) is the source of this 354-nucleotide long non-coding RNA. RefSeq lists it as uncharacterized. The record is from RefSeq and is a predicted model, not a curated record. The transcript has 2 exons. Lineage: Eukaryota; Viridiplantae; Streptophyta; Magnoliopsida; Caryophyllales; Amaranthaceae.
AUAUUAUUGCCCAUUAAAAAUAGUACUUUGCUCUGCCUGAUUCCUGUAAUAUAUUCAAGUAAUGAGAAGAUGAGGGCAUAGAGUAGUAGAAAACCAGCUGCGAGGGAGAAGAGAUUAGAUCUGGGCGCACCACAAACAGCGAGGGAGAAGAGAGACACCAGCGAGAAAUCCAGGCGAUAUCAAUGAAGAAUGGACAUUUCAGGAGCAUCAAUGGGGUGGACAUCAUCGUGAUUGAAUAUGAGGUGAUUGAUUUUCCGUUUGGAUUUCUUGGUUGAUCUUGAAACAAGUUGUUAGAAUUACGUUUUUAGGCAUAGCCCACAAUAUAUUUAGUGUGAAACAGGUUCAUUUAAAGAA